GACGAACGCUGGCGGCGUGCUUAACACAUGCAAGUCGAACGGAAAGGCCCUGCUUUUGUGGGGUGCUCGAGUGGCGAACGGGUGAGUAACACGUGAGUAACCUGCCCUUGACUUUGGGAUAACUUCAGGAAACUGGGGCUAAUACCGGAUAGGAGCUCCUGCUGCAUGGUGGGGGUUGGAAAGUUUCGGCGGUUGGGGAUGGACUCGCGGCUUAUCAGCUUGUUGGUGGGGUAGUGGCUUACCAAGGCUUUGACGGGUAGCCGGCCUGAGAGGGUGACCGGCCACAUUGGGACUGAGAUACGCCCCAGACUCCUACGGGAGGCAGCAGUCGGGAAUAUUGCACAGUGGGCGGAAGCCUGUUGCAGCAACGCCGCGUGCGGGAUGACGGCUUUCGGGUUGUAAACCGCUUUCGCCUGUGACGAAGCGUGAGUGACGGUAAUGGGUAAAGAAGCACCGGCUAACUACGUG
Molecule: ribosomal RNA, 468 nt
Filed under: uncultured bacterium
Lineage: Bacteria
Description: partial 16S ribosomal RNA
Rfam family: Bacterial small subunit ribosomal RNA
Source: RNAcentral